RNAcentral lists this ribosomal RNA (465 nucleotides) under Vreelandella stevensii. RNAcentral's name for it is "partial 16S ribosomal RNA". It matches the Rfam family "Bacterial small subunit ribosomal RNA", at positions 338 to 795 of the family's 1533-position model. The record is from RNAcentral. Lineage: Bacteria; Pseudomonadati; Pseudomonadota; Gammaproteobacteria; Oceanospirillales; Halomonadaceae.
CCUACGGGUGGCUGCAGUGGGGAAUAUUGGACAAUGGGCGAAAGCCUGAUCCAGCCAUGUCGCGUGUGUGAAGAAGGCCUUCGGGUUGUAAAGCACUUUCAGUGGGGAAGAAAGCCUUGGGGCUAAUACCCUCGAGGAAGGACAUCACCCACAGAAGAAGCACCGGCUAACUCCGUGCCAGCAGCCGCGGUAAUACGGAGGGUGCGAGCGUUAAUCGGAAUUACUGGGCGUAAAGCGCGCGUAGGCGGUCUGAUAAGCCGGUUGUGAAAGCCCCGGGCUCAACCUGGGAACGGCAUCCGGAACUGUCAGGCUAGAGUGCAGGAGAGGAAGGUAGAAUUCCCGGUGUAGCGGUGAAAUGCGUAGAGAUCGGGAGGAAUACCAGUGGCGAAGGCGGCCUUCUGGACUGACACUGACGCUGAGGUGCGAAAGCGUGGGUAGCAAACAGGAUUAGAUACCCCUGUAGUC